Molecule: ribosomal RNA, 253 nt
Filed under: uncultured bacterium
Lineage: Bacteria
Description: partial 16S ribosomal RNA
Rfam family: Bacterial small subunit ribosomal RNA
Source: RNAcentral
UACGUAGGGUACUAGCGUUGUCCGGAAUUAUUGGGCGUAAAGAGCUCGUAGGCGGUUGGUCGCGUCUGCUGUGGAAUCACACUGCUUAACGGUGUGCGUGCAGUGGGUACGGGCAGGCUGGAGUGCAGUAGGGGAGACUGGAAUUCCUGGUGUAGCGGUGAAAUGCGCAGAUAUCAGGAGGAACACCGAUGGCGAAGGCAGGUCUCUGGGCUGUUACUGACGCUGAGGAGCGAAAGCAUGGGGAGCGAACAGG